RNAcentral lists this ribosomal RNA (253 nucleotides) under uncultured bacterium. RNAcentral describes it as "partial 16S ribosomal RNA". It matches the Rfam family "Bacterial small subunit ribosomal RNA", at positions 524 to 776 of the family's 1533-position model. The record is from RNAcentral.
UACGAAGGGGGCUAGCGUUGUUCGGAAUUACUGGGCGUAAAGAGCGCGUAGGCGGCUUACCAAGUUGGGGGUGAAAUCCCGGAGCUCAACUCCGGAACUGCCUUCAAAACUGGUAGGCUCGAGUCCGGAAGAGGGGCGUGGAAUUCCGAGUGUAGAGGUGAAAUUCGUAGAUAUUGGGAAGAACACCGGUGGCGAAGGCGGCGCCCUGGUCCGGUACUGACGCUGAGGCGCGAAAGCGUGGGGAGCACACAGG